RNAcentral lists this transfer RNA (73 nucleotides) under Gloeobacter violaceus PCC 7421. RNAcentral describes it as "tRNA-His (GTG) (tRNA-His-GTG-1-1)". It matches the Rfam family "tRNA". Rfam says of the family: Transfer RNA (tRNA) molecules are approximately 80 nucleotides in length. Their secondary structure includes four short double-helical elements and three loops (D, anti-codon, and T loops). The record is from Rfam by way of RNAcentral. Lineage: Bacteria; Bacillati; Cyanobacteriota; Cyanophyceae; Gloeobacterales; Gloeobacteraceae.
GCGGGCGUAGCCAAGGGGUUAAGGCAGAGGAUUGUGGAUCCUCUAUUCGUGGGUUCAAGUCCCAUCGUCCGCC